Molecule: non-coding RNA, 2296 nt
Organism: Podarcis lilfordi (Lilford's wall lizard)
Lineage: Eukaryota; Metazoa; Chordata; Lepidosauria; Squamata; Lacertidae
Source: the annotation of a GenBank genome assembly
AUUAAAUUUUUUUCUUGUAAUCAGCACAAUUAAAGGUUUAUUAAUUCUUGCUAUAUUCCCAAAACUUUAUGGUCCAAUAAUAUUUAAUUCAAAAAUAUUUAACAAGUUACAUCGACAGAAUUAUCCACUUAACAAAAUGAAUAAGUUGUUUAAAGAGUCUCCUGGGCACUCUUGGUGAUUCCGCCAUAGAUAUUUGGUCUUGGCCACUUUGCCAGUCCAAAAGAGUGUGAUUAGUACCUUGUGGUUGCUAAGCGACAACACUAUAUAUAUGGGAUAUAUAUCCACGGGACCCAGCAAUCGGGUAAUCUUAGACACUGACCAUGAUGUUAUGCGUUUUCAUUAUUGUAAUACAUUUAUUUCUCACAGCUAUAUUUUAUUGAAACAUAGUAAAGGAUGUAUUAUACACCUGACAACUUUCCACUGAUAAAAUAAAGGGCACAGUCUACGAUCACAUAUGCAAGGUAUUUACAGGUAUGUUUACCCAGAAAUCCUACUGAGCUCAUUGGCACUUACUCUCAACUAUGUUGUUGUUGUUGUUUAGUUGUGUCUGACUCUUCGUGACCCCAUGGACCAGAGCAACUAUUUUAGUUCAUCUUAAUUUGUUUGUUUGACAAACAUGCUCUAUCCCAUGAGUUCAGAGUGGCUUGCCACCAUUUUUCUAAAUAGUCCUGUAUCACAAUUUAAGGCAAUUCAAUUGUUUAGGAGAUAAAAGAGGCCAAAUGAAACGAAAAGGAAAUUAUAAAUUUAUGCUAUUUUUUCAUGGAUCGGAGGAAUAAAACACCCAUACCAAACCGUAAAUAAGCAGGCUAAAAAAGCUGUCCAGUGCAUGCGACUUAAUGUUUCAUGGCUCAGCAGGGCUUUCGUUGGAUGCUGUACAAUCGGUUUUCCACUGCCACACUGAGAUUUAUCAAAAACAGUUUGUGAUAUGGUAACAAGGGGCUUGCUGUUUCACGGUAACAAGGUCAGGCAUCCCAGUGGUGCAUAACCGCUGUUGGUGUAUUCUCCCUCACAUGAUUGCAAUUGUAAGAGGACAUCAAAUGAGGUUGACUCUGUUGCCAUUUUCCACAACUUGGAGGGAAACUCUAAAGAAGUAGGGAGGCUGUUGUAUGUGCUGACUGAUUCUCAAAUGACUUAAAACCUUGUGUGAUCAGGGUUCUUAGCCAUGUGGAGAGACUCAUGGAGAGCAAUCCCAUUGCUUCAGGUCUUCAACCUCAACGGCAAUGGACACAUGACUGGGACUGAGGAGAGGCAGUGCCAGGAAGAGAAAACCUUCUCACCACAGGUCAUAAGCACAUGAGGGGGAAUGCCCAAGAAAGGAUUUAGACUGCUUCAGAGCACCUCCAGACUGUCGAUAUUUUGCAGGAGGAAUUCAAGCAUUUCUUAAAGGAAAUCUAGAUGUGUGCAAUUAAAAUAGAGUAAAGUGCUCCAUCACCAUAGUUUGAAAAAUCCACAUGGAGAAAGAAACAGAAUUUCUGUAGUCUGGAAAGAGAAAUGCAUUGUGAAUUGCGGAAUGAAUGAAUGAUGGGAAGACAUAGUAAUCCCACCCCUUCAAGUAAAUCAGGAUGACAGCUUAUCAUCCUGCAACCUCCCUAUUAUCCUACUAUCCUACAACCUCCCCACUUUGUGCAAGCAAAUCAGGAUGAAUGCUCAAUAUAUAGGUUGACUAGAAGAGCUCUCAUAUCAUUCAGUGCAUGUCAAAAUAUUCUGGAAGGGGAGGUGUGAGGUAAAAUCAUACCGUGCCAUUUUCUGAGUCCUUCCAAAGUUUUUGUACCUAUCACCAGUAUUAAAAAAUAAAAAUACCAACACACUAUUAAACACAUUUCAAGCUUUUGAGAUAAGUUGUUCCUCUUUUAGGAGGUGUGUUUGUGUAUAUAUGGAAAUAGUAGAUAUGUGUGUAUGUGUGUAUGUGUGUGCCUGUUCUGUAGACAGCAAAUGAUACCUACUACCACUAGAAGUAGCCUAAUAGCAAAGAGUAGCAAAAUUAAACCAUACCAUUGUGCAUCAACUGGGAUUUCUUGUGUUAAAUAAAACUUCUGCUGAAGAGAGAAUUUAGAUAGGGGGGAAAAACAUCUCCAGCUGUCUGCAAGAAUUUACAGACUGAUGCAUUUUCAGACUCUGGAGAGCGAACUAUUUGUUGCUCUUUCCUUUUUCUGUUUUUACAAAAAGGUGGAAAGCCAAAUGUUGUGCUCAGCAAGACCAGAAGCAGUAGAGGUCAUGUUCUUAAGCCAGAUAGCAUUUUCAAUUCUGCUGAGUGCCAACGUUUUCCUUCUGCUCAAUAAAAAUAAUAAUAAAGUGG